CUGGGACAGGCCUUCUAGAUCUUACUGAGGGGUGUGAACUUUGUUCUACAUGCCACCAGGCUCUUAAGCAGGGCGGUGCCAGGAGCAGAUCUGAGUCUUUGGAACAAGCCUCCUGACCACGUGUGGCGGUUGGCAUGGAGGGGGCCGAGGCUGAGGUCACAGAGAACAGCUGGGAGGCAGUUGCUGGAGUUCCCGCGAGUACUGAUGAGCCUACAGUGGGGCUGUGGGGAUGGAGAGUCAGGGAUGCUGGAACCAGAAAAGGCCAUGGUUGCAGGAGAGAUGUGAGAAAGACACUUGAUAAGCUGUCGGCAGCAGUUUCUCCUAAGGGGUCUGCCAAAAACUGCGUGGGAUUUCAGGGUCUGGCUUACUUCGCCUUCUUCAGGUCUGUUACAUUUCCCAGAAUGGUUCCCAGCGCUGGAGAUAAUUCCUUUUCGGAGAACCUACAUUUCUCACCUGCUGAUUGCAAUUAGCCACUGCCAGCUGGGGCCUGGUGUGCAGCUGAAAAGCUAACAAGAAGUGGAGACCACGCGGAACCCAGACAGGGCAGAGGAUGCGACUGAAUAAGGAAUGGUGCCCAUGUUUAUGAGCCGCUCCUGUGAAUUAAGGUUUCCCGACCUUCUGGAUGGCCCUCCCUCUUCCACCUCUAUGCUCCCCAUCUCUCCUCUAUUUUUUUUUUUUUUGUCUCUGGGUUUGUGGCCCACACUUAACAUCACAGUCACGAAUUUACCACAUUUUGUUAGGCAAUAAACAGCCUUGGAAGAGAAAUGAAAUUCGACUAGGACUUCUGUUCCAAUAAUGUCUGUGAGCUGUGGUGGACUCAGGCAGUCCCGCAUGCAGGUCAUAGAGCUAACCUUGAACGUGAGGGCUGGCAGGGCUUGGAAACGCCUCGGGGACUGCCUAAUCUGAACCCUUCAUUUUAUGGAUGAGGACAUUGAAUCCCAGAGGGAGGGCAUGGCUCGUCCAAAGUCUGAGAGGAAGUCACAAGUCUGAGUGAAGUCCACAUCCCCUGACUCCCGGGCCAGGGCUCUAACCACUGAACUGCCUUGCCUUUGAUCAUCAUUGGCAGCCAACCUGUAAAAUUUUUGAGGAAAGCACCAAGGAAAUUGCCAAGGGUUGGAUGAUAGUCUCUGUUGGGCAAUGUGGUCUCCAACCUAAGGGGACGCUUCUUUCCUUCCUCGUGGGCCGGGCCUGGCCCCAAUACCAAUGUCACACCCCUGGACAUUUUCAUCCAGGGUUGAUACUCGUGUUCCCAGGGCUCAGAGCUGCUGACUCCGAUCCCCUACCUGCAGCCUAAGGGGAGUGCUCGGCCUUUGGGGCUGUUUUGGGUUUGUACUGCAGGAAAUAGUAGGGAACAGAGGCGCAGCCAGGGGAAAAUGAGCAGCUGUCCUUGUUGGUUCCACAGCAGAAGUGAAGGGAGGCUGGCCUGGUGAGGUCUGUGACGUCUGGCGCAGCCAUCUCUGCCUGUUGGGAUUGAGCUGUUUGUACAGCCCUCCCCUACUUCCGCUUAAAGGCCAGGCAUUCCCUGCCCAACUCACUUUCCCCUGGGAGAGGCCGCCUCGUAGGGUUUAGGGUCAGAGAGUUGGCCAGGCUUCCAGGCCUCGGGCGGUAAUGAAAAGCACCUGGGCUGCGGACUGGAGGCCUAGUUCUGUUCUGUGGUCGGCGUGCUCUCAGCCUCUAUUUCUUGAUCUGAAACAUGGAGACUCAUAACACACGGCGGGUUGGGCUUGCUGAGAAGAUGAGAGAAGGAAACAUAGAUUGAAGACUCCAUUGUCUUGUCAUCCAUUGUUGGAGAUGAGCAGUCUGCUGCUUAUCUUGAAUGGGAGUUUGGUCAGAAGUGAGUGUUCCAGAUCAAUGAGAAGCUCAGCUUCAAGCACUUGUGCGAGACCCCAGACCAAGAGUGGCUCUGCCAUCUUCAGCACAUGGCUUCCAAAGUUACUCUAGUCCACUGCUGUCCAAUAGAAUAUUUUAUGAUGAUGGAAAUGUUCUAUCUUUAUUUGUGCUGUUCAAUAUAGUAACCACUAGCCACAUGUGGCUAUUUAACACUUGAAUUGUGG
Long non-coding RNA from Equus caballus (horse), 2054 nucleotides. NCBI's taxonomy places the organism in Eukaryota, Metazoa, Chordata, Mammalia, Perissodactyla, Equidae. The record is from Ensembl.